Molecule: ribosomal RNA, 497 nt
Filed under: uncultured bacterium
Lineage: Bacteria
Description: partial 16S ribosomal RNA
Rfam family: Bacterial small subunit ribosomal RNA
Source: RNAcentral
GAUGAACGCUGGCGGCGUGCCUAAUACAUGCCAGUCGAGCGAACGGACGAGAAGCUUGCUUCUCUGAUGUUAGCGGCGGACGGGUGAGUAACACGUGGAUAACCUACCUAUAAGACUGGGAUAACUUCGGGAAACCGGAGCUAAUACCGGAUAAUAUUUUGAACCGCAUGGUUCAAAAGUGAAAGACGGUCUUGCUGUCACUUAUAGAUGGAUCCGCACUGCAUUAGCUAGUUGGUAAGGUAACGGCUUACCAAGGCAACGAUGCAUAGCCGACCUGAGAGGGUGAUCGGCCACACUGGAACUGAGACACGGUCCAGACUCCUACGGGAGGCAGCAGUAGGGAAUCUUCCGCAAUGGGCGAAAGCCUGACGGAGCAACGCCGCGUGAGUGAUGAAGGUCUUCGGAUCGUAAAACUCUGUUAUUAGGGAAGAACAUAUGUGUAAGUAACUGUGCACAUCUUGACGGUACCUAAUCAGAAAGCCACGGCUAACUACGUG